This 2925-nucleotide ribosomal RNA is filed under the name Escherichia coli. RNAcentral's name for it is "partial 23S ribosomal RNA". It matches the Rfam family "Bacterial large subunit ribosomal RNA". Lineage: Bacteria; Pseudomonadati; Pseudomonadota; Gammaproteobacteria; Enterobacterales; Enterobacteriaceae. The record is from RNAcentral.
GGGUUGUGAGGUUAAGCGACUAAGCGUACACGGUGGAUGCCCUGGCAGUCAGAGGCGAUGAAGGACGUGCUAAUCUGCGAUAAGCGUCGGUAAGGUGAUAUGAACCGUUAUAACCGGCGAUUUCCGAAUGGGGAAACCCAGUGUGUUUCGACACACUAUCAUUAACUGAAUCCAUAGGUUAAUGAGGCGAACCGGGGGAACUGAAACAUCUAAGUACCCCGAGGAAAAGAAAUCAACCGAGAUUCCCCCAGUAGCGGCGAGCGAACGGGGAGCAGCCCAGAGCCUGAAUCAGUGUGUGUGUUAGUGGAAGCGUCUGGAAAGGCGCGCGAUACAGGGUGACAGCCCCGUACACAAAAAUGCACAUGCUGUGAGCUCGAUGAGUAGGGCGGGACACGUGGUAUCCUGUCUGAAUAUGGGGGGACCAUCCUCCAAGGCUAAAUACUCCUGACUGACCGAUAGUGAACCAGUACCGUGAGGGAAAGGCGAAAAGAACCCCGGCGAGGGGAGUGAAAAAGAACCUGAAACCGUGUACGUACAAGCAGUGGGAGCACGCUUAGGCGUGUGACUGCGUACCUUUUGUAUAAUGGGUCAGCGACUUAUAUUCUGUAGCAAGGUUAACCGAAUAGGGGAGCCGAAGGGAAACCGAGUCUUAACUGGGCGUUAAGUUGCAGGGUAUAGACCCGAAACCCGGUGAUCUAGCCAUGGGCAGGUUGAAGGUUGGGUAACACUAACUGGAGGACCGAACCGACUAAUGUUGAAAAAUUAGCGGAUGACUUGUGGCUGGGGGUGAAAGGCCAAUCAAACCGGGAGAUAGCUGGUUCUCCCCGAAAGCUAUUUAGGUAGCGCCUCGUGAAUUCAUCUCCGGGGGUAGAGCACUGUUUCGGCAAGGGGGUCAUCCCGACUUACCAACCCGAUGCAAACUGCGAAUACCGGAGAAUGUUAUCACGGGAGACACACGGCGGGUGCUAACGUCCGUCGUGAAGAGGGAAACAACCCAGACCGCCAGCUAAGGUCCCAAAGUCAUGGUUAAGUGGGAAACGAUGUGGGAAGGCCCAGACAGCCAGGAUGUUGGCUUAGAAGCAGCCAUCAUUUAAAGAAAGCGUAAUAGCUCACUGGUCGAGUCGGCCUGCGCGGAAGAUGUAACGGGGCUAAACCAUGCACCGAAGCUGCGGCAGCGACGCUUAUGCGUUGUUGGGUAGGGGAGCGUUCUGUAAGCCUGCGAAGGUGUGCUGUGAGGCAUGCUGGAGGUAUCAGAAGUGCGAAUGCUGACAUAAGUAACGAUAAAGCGGGUGAAAAGCCCGCUCGCCGGAAGACCAAGGGUUCCUGUCCAACGUUAAUCGGGGCAGGGUGAGUCGACCCCUAAGGCGAGGCCGAAAGGCGUAGUCGAUGGGAAACAGGUUAAUAUUCCUGUACUUGGUGUUACUGCGAAGGGGGGACGGAGAAGGCUAUGUUGGCCGGGCGACGGUUGUCCCGGUUUAAGCGUGUAGGCUGGUUUUCCAGGCAAAUCCGGAAAAUCAAGGCUGAGGCGUGAUGACGAGGUACUACGGUGCUGAAGCAACAAAUGCCAUGCUUCCAGGAAAAGCCUCUAAGCAUCAGGUAACAUCAAAUCGUACCCCAAACCGACACAGGUGGUCAGGUAGAGAAUACCAAGGCGCUUGAGAGAACUCGGGUGAAGGAACUAGGCAAAAUGGUGCCGUAACUUCGGGAGAAGGCACGCUGAUAUGUAGGUGAAGUCCCUCGCGGAUGGAGCUGAAAUCAGUCGAAGAUACCAGCUGGCUGCAACUGUUUAUUAAAAACACAGCACUGUGCAAACACGAAAGUGGACGUAUACGGUGUGACGCCUGCCCGGUGCCGGAAGGUUAAUUGAUGGGGUCAGCGCAAGCGAAGCUCUUGAUCGAAGCCCCGGUAAACGGCGGCCGUAACUAUAACGGUCCUAAGGUAGCGAAAUUCCUUGUCGGGUAAGUUCCGACCUGCACGAAUGGCGUAAUGAUGGCCAGGCUGUCUCCACCCGAGACUCAGUGAAAUUGAACUCGCUGUGAAGAUGCAGUGUACCCGCGGCAAGACGGAAAGACCCCGUGAACCUUUACUAUAGCUUGACACUGAACAUUGAGCCUUGAUGUGUAGGAUAGGUGGGAGGCUUUGAAGUGUGGACGCCAGUCUGCAUGGAGCCGACCUUGAAAUACCACCCUUUAAUGUUUGAUGUUCUAACGUUGACCCGUAAUCCGGGUUGCGGACAGUGUCUGGUGGGUAGUUUGACUGGGGCGGUCUCCUCCUAAAGAGUAACGGAGGAGCACGAAGGUUGGCUAAUCCUGGUCGGACAUCAGGAGGUUAGUGCAAUGGCAUAAGCCAGCUUGACUGCGAGCGUGACGGCGCGAGCAGGUGCGAAAGCAGGUCAUAGUGAUCCGGUGGUUCUGAAUGGAAGGGCCAUCGCUCAACGGAUAAAAGGUACUCCGGGGAUAACAGGCUGAUACCGCCCAAGAGUUCAUAUCGACGGCGGUGUUUGGCACCUCGAUGUCGGCUCAUCACAUCCUGGGGCUGAAGUAGGUCCCAAGGGUAUGGCUGUUCGCCAUUUAAAGUGGUACGCGAGCUGGGUUUAGAACGUCGUGAGACAGUUCGGUCCCUAUCUGCCGUGGGCGCUGGAGAACUGAGGGGGGCUGCUCCUAGUACGAGAGGACCGGAGUGGACGCAUCACUGGUGUUCGGGUUGUCAUGCCAAUGGCACUGCCCGGUAGCUAAAUGCGGAAGAGAUAAGUGCUGAAAGCAUCUAAGCACGAAACUUGCCCCGAGAUGAGUUCUCCCUGACCCUUUAAGGGUCCUGAAGGAACGUUGAAGACGACGACGUUGAUAGGCCGGGUGUGUAAGCGCAGCGAUGCGUUGAGCUAACCGGUACUAAUGAACCGUGAGGCUUAACCUUACAACGCCGAAG